Molecule: ribosomal RNA, 480 nt
Filed under: uncultured bacterium
Lineage: Bacteria
Description: partial 16S ribosomal RNA
Rfam family: Bacterial small subunit ribosomal RNA
Source: RNAcentral
GACGAACGCUGGCGGCGUGCUUAACACAUGCAAGUCGAGCGAUGAAGCACCUUCGGGUGUGGAUUAGCGGCGAACGGGUGAGGAACACGUGAGGAAUCUGCCUUUCACUUCGGGAUAACUCCGGGAAACCGGGGCUAAUACCGGAUAUUUUCAACUGGCGGCAUCGCCGGUUGAAGAAAGUUUUUCGGUGAAAGAUGACCUCGCGGCCUAUCAGCUUGUUGGUGAGGUAAUGGCUCACCAAGGCGACGACGGGUAGCCGGCCUGAGAGGGCGACCGGCCACACUGGGACUGAGACACGGCCCAGACUCCUACGGGAGGCAGCAGUGGGGAAUAUUGGGCAAUGGAGGAAACUCUGACCCAGCGACGCCGCGUGAGGGAUGAAGGCCUUCGGGUUGUAAACCUCUUUCAGCAGGGAAUAAGCGAAAGUGAAGGUACCUGCAGAAGAAGCACCGGCUAACUAUGUGCCAGCCGCCGCCGUAA